GCUAGUAGGCGCUCAGUGAGCGCGCGUUUCCCGCUGGGGAGAGAGAGAGAGAGAGAGGCGCGCAGCCGCUGCUCGGAAAGCAGCUUGUGCGGCGGAGCAGCAGCAGCACCGUUGACGUUCCAUUUCCCCACGUGACCGGCGGCCUCGCUCCAUUCCAGGGAGGGAGCCUGGCUGCUGCUGCUGUUGCUGCAAAAGCUCUGGGGGAGCCGCAAGCUGUGGAGCAGCGCUGGCGGCCCCAGCACCCCGGAGCAGCCGUGCCGCCCGCCUUGUUUGUGUGAUGACCGAGCCUGGCUCUUGGCCGUCCGCUGCCGGCUGACAGAGACCGCUUCGGGGGCCAGGCAGGCAGGCAGGCGACGAGGAGAUAGGCGCCACCGCCGCGUGUGACCUUGGCCCAGGAGAGGCAAAUUGCACUGCAGAAGACUUGCCAGCAGACCAUACCAUUCAGACAUGGCACAAGGAAAUAAUUAUGGACAAAGCAGCAACGGGGUGGCUGAUGAAUCCCCAAAUAUGUUGGUGUACAGAAAGAUGGAAGAUGUCAUAGCUCGUAUGCAAGAUGAGAAAAAUGGGAUUCUCAUUCGUACAGUCAAAAGUUUCCUUUCCAAGAUUCCCAGUGUCUUCUCUGGUUCCGACAUCGUUCAGUGGUUAACAAAGAAUUUGUCUAUAGAAGACCCAGUGGAAGCUCUUCAUUUGGGAACAUUAAUGGCAGCCCAUGGUUAUUUCUUUCCUAUCUCAGACCAUGUUUUAACACUGAAAGAUGAUGGCACCUUUUACCGGUUCCAAACACCCUAUUUUUGGCCAUCCAAUUGUUGGGAGCCGGAAAACACAGAUUAUGCGGUUUACCUCUGCAAGCGAACAAUGCAAAACAAAGCACGGCUUGAGCUAGCAGACUAUGAAGCAGAGAGCUUGGCCAGGUUACAGCGAGCAUUUGCACGGAAAUGGGAGUUUAUUUUUAUGCAAGCAGAAGCACAAGCAAAAGUGGACAAGAAAAGGGACAAGAUAGAGAGGAAAAUCCUCGAUAGCCAAGAGAGAGCAUUUUGGGAUGUACACCGGCCAGUGCCUGGAUGUGUAAAUACUACUGAAGUGGAUAUUAAAAAGUCUUCUAGAAUGAAAAAUCCUCACAAAACAAGAAAGUCUGUUUACGGAUUACAGAACGACAUUCGAAGUCACAGCCCUACACACACACCAGCGCCAGAAACUAAACCACCCACAGAAGAGGAAUUGCAACAAGAGAUAAAGUAUUGGCAAAUACAGCUAGAUAGACACCGGUUAAAAAUGUCAAAAGUUGCAGAAAGUUUAUUGUCUUUCACUGAGCAGUAUGUGGAAUACGACCCAUUUCUGGCACCACCCGACCCGUCUAAUCCUUGGUUGUCGGAUGAUACUACUUUCUGGGAAGCAGAAGUAAGUAAAGAGCCAAACCAGCAAAGAGUAAAGCGAUGGGGAUUUGGCAUGGAUGAAGCCCUGAAAGACCCUGUGGGGAGAGAGCAGUUCCUCAAAUUCCUGGAGUCCGAAUUCAGCUCAGAGAAUCUAAGGUUCUGGUUAGCUGUAGAAGAUUUGAAGAAGAGACCGAUGAGGGAAGUCCCUGCUAGAGUGCAGGAAAUCUGGCAAGAAUUUCUUGCCCCCGGAGCACCGAGUGCCAUUAACGUAGAUUCAAAAAGUUAUGACAAAACCACGCAGAAUGUAAAAGAACCAGGGCGGCAUACAUUUGGCGAUGCUCAGGAGCACAUUUACAAAUUGAUGAAAAGUGAUUCAUAUCCUCGUUUUCUACGAUCCAGUGCCUACCAGGAACUGCUACAGGCCAAGAAGAAGGUAUUGGUCCAUCUUGUCUAUGUCUUUCCAACUAUUUCAGUAGUGGUUUCUCCUUGCUACCAUUUUGGCUACUUUCUCGCCUUGGGUAAGGUGCAUAUCCGGUAGGUGAAAAGUUAAAAUUGAGCAUCACUGAAGGGAUCCAGACAUAUAUCUGUUUUGCACUUAUGCACGACUGAAUAAGUUGCACUAACCAAUUCCAUGUUGACAUUCGCAUUAUCAAAUUCAUCUAGUAACCAAAGGACUAAAUCAGGAAAAUAGCUUUUAAGUAGGCCAAAUAUCUCUAGAAACAGUGUUUCAGAGUAGUCAUUUUUCACCACCUUAUAUAUUAUGAAACAAUUUACCUUAAAUGCAUUUAAGACCCUACAGUGCAUGCUUACUUGGAAGUAAGUCCCACUAAGUCGAGUGGAGUUUACUCCUAUCUCUCAUUUAAAACUCUUAAGUGUGCUAGGAUUGCAGCGUCAUAAGCCUUUGAUGCUCGGUUGACAGGAAAUUCUUUCUUUUUCUAUUAGGUCUAUUGCUAUAUCCUAGUUAAAAGUGUAUCAUCUAGCCCUAGUGCAUGUUCAUGGGGAAGCUCCCUUGUGUAAACCCCAUUGAAAUGAAUGUUGAUACUAUAAGGACAGGAAACAAAUGAUUUAGACUAACCCAAAUCAAUGGAGUGGCUUUUGAUGUUCAUUGUAUACUCUUUUGCUUUAGAAGGCCCCCAAACUAUAUGCGAUGCCAAACACAAUAGAUUGUGAACUGUAUAUCUUUUCUGAAAAUCUAAAUAGCAGAUGGGGGAAAGCAAUCAGAAUUGGGAUGUUGGGGGGGGGUGCACUUUAACCCUUUCCUUCCCCACUAUAUUCCUGCCUUUUGAAGCUGCGACACACCAUGGGAGAGAAGUUCCUCUCGACUUCAGUGGGCUAAUUGCCGUUUCAGGGACACUUUUCUUGAAAGAAUUGGUGGGGAGUAAAGAGCUAUACCAGAACCACAGUCCCAGUACUGAUUGGGGCUGCCAUCCCUGCUAUUCAGAGCAAGAUAUAUGGAACAACGUUACAUGUACUUUAGUUCUUACAUUUAAUAGCCUGCCAACAGAACAGUCUAAAACCCAACGACCUUUCCUCACCCAUUCCAGUUAUGUUGUUAUUUGUAUAUCAAAUAAGCGAAGAUGUAAAACAAGCCAGAGAUUCUCUAAUUUGGGUGGUUUUCUCGUUUCUGUAAAUGUCUGGUCAUUUAAUCAGCAUCUUGUUGUUUUGCUUUAAUUUUAUGUGUGUGCGCGUGUGAUAUAUAAAUAUAUAUAUAAAAUGCCAGUUUGAUCCACUUGCCAGAAAUUUCUAACCAAAGGCACAGAUCCCAAGAUUAUUGCAUGCACCUUCCAGGUGAUCAGCACUGGCAAAGCUGACUGGACCAUCCAUCGGCUUAGUGGUGCAGAAACUGUGGGGGAAUGCUGGGUGCGAUUUCCACACACACACACCCUGCAGCCAAGCCACACUCAGUUGCUUGUGUGGGAUCCCAUUCCGAAGGGACGUCUGGUCCUGUAAGCCUGCUUCUGCAUCCCUUCCCAGAUCAGGUGAAACAUUACAAAGCUUUCCUGUAAUUUAUUUCUCUACAAGCUUUUACAUCUUCUCCUACAUUUGCGUUUACUUUGUGAUUUGUACACGAGCUUUGUGUUUUAGCAGCCCAUUGUUUCUCCCCCCCCCCAUGGUCUGUUCUUUUCGGCUUCUUUUGUUUCCUUUCCCCUUUUUAUUUCUUUUCUUUCACUUUAAGUUUGGAAACACAAUGGAUCGCCGAACAUCCUUUGAGAAAUUCACACGCAGUGUGGUAAGUUCAUAAUGUUGUAAGCCUUUCUGGUUAACAGGCUUUCCUCAGGUGGUAUUUGGGUGACAACCUGCUCAUGUCACCAAGCACUGUUUUAAACAUAGUCCCAGCUGAAAUGAUUUGGAAUAGUUUUAAGUCUGCCUUCUGCAACCUGCUUCCUUCCAGAUGUUGUUGGACUCCAGCUCCCAUCAACCACAGCCAGUAUGGGGCCAAAGAUUGGUGAUUAUGGGAGUUGUAGUCCAGCAACAUAUAGAAGGCACCAGAUUGGGGAAGGCUGGUUUAAAUGGCAGGAGCAGCUUAAGCAGGCAACAUGUCCACACCGCUUUUCUGGAAACAAAAUCCCAUUCAUUUCCAUUUAAAAAGAGAGAGAGAUUGCUAAAUUUUAAAGCAACUGGAUUUAUUACAUUUCACUCUGCUUUUUUUUAAAAAAAUCACAAGCCACUCCCACCCCCAAAUGUUGUGUUUGUUUUGGAGGGUUGUUUUUUUUAUGUGCCAAUGACUUUGGAUCACCUUUUUCAACAUUGUGCAAGUUCAAACUAAAGCGUUCAACACAUUUAUUUUUGUAGGGCAGAAACAUCCCAAUUUUCCCAUGCCAUAAAAACUGUACACCAACACUGAGGGCGAGCACUAACCUGUUAUGAAAAGAGGGGAAAUCGCUCGCAUCAAAGAGAUUAACCAGUCUAGUGCAGUCCUACUAAAAGGAUCACCUUAUAGCAUGGAAGCAGACUCAAUCAUUAUACAUACGGUACUUUGUAGCUCACUAAUUGCCUGAAGACAGAGGACAGUAGAACAAGAUGUUGCAUGAGCAAAGGACAUGACUCGUUUUCUUUUGUGUAUAUCAAGGCAUUACAGACUCCAAGGGACUCGCUAACCUUUCGAUGCCUCCAUUUUGAAAAACUCUCUGCUCACUUUCGCCUUCAUAUCAAGCUGGAUCUGUGUCUUUUUGUUUCCUGCAAGCUGAAGUACAGUGAAAAAAGCUUCUGUUAGGCAGAGUUUAUUCACAAUACUUUCGGUCGCAAACUGGAAGAAAUGUAAAAAAACAACAACCCCUAAAAAUAAAAACAUUGAAUAUAUUCAUAAAUAUACCUACUAUGACAUCACGGCUAUUGCACAAUAAAUUAGCACAGAAGGUUCCAUCUCACCGAUGUUGUCACAUCGAGAAAGAAAGUCUGUGUCUUUGUCUGUUGUCUGUAUAUUCUAUGUUAAUGUUUCUUGCAUUUAUUUUUAUACCAUAUUUUAAGACAAAAAGAACACCUUUUACUCCAAAUGUAUUAAAGCUGAUCCUUUCUCUGUAAAUUUGUGUAUGUUUAUAUUGUUGUUUUAUCUUUCAUUAAAAUAUGCAGAAUCUC
Molecule: non-coding RNA, 4949 nt
Organism: Zootoca vivipara (common lizard)
Lineage: Eukaryota; Metazoa; Chordata; Lepidosauria; Squamata; Lacertidae
Source: RefSeq, a predicted model, not a curated record